CCCUUAGAUGUUCUGGGCCGCACGCGCGCUACACUGAUGCAUUCAACGAGCCUAUCCUUGACCGACAGGACCGGGUAAUCUUUGAAUCUGCAUCGUGACGGGGAUAGAUUAUUGCAAUUAUUAAUCUUCAACGAGGAAUGCCUAGUAGGCGCAAGUCAUCAGCUUGCGUCGAUUACGUCCCUGCCCUUUGUACACACCGCCCGUCGCUCCUACCGAUUGGGUGUGCUGGUGAAAUGUUCGGAUCGGCCGUUUGUCGCGGUUUCCGCGUCAUGUGGCUGAGAAGUUCAUUAAACCCUCCCACCUAGAGGAAGGAGAAGUCGUAACA
This 325-nucleotide ribosomal RNA is filed under the name uncultured eukaryote. RNAcentral's name for it is "partial 18S ribosomal RNA". It matches the Rfam family "Eukaryotic small subunit ribosomal RNA", at positions 1470 to 1796 of the family's 1831-position model. The record is from RNAcentral.